CCUACGGGGGGCAGCAGUAGGGAAUAUUGCACAAUGGGGGAAACCCUGAAGCAGCAACGCCGCGUGGAGGAUGAAGGUUUUCGGAUUGUAAACUCCUUUUGUUAGAGAAGAUAAUGACGGUAUCUAACGAAUAAGCACCGGCUAACUCCGUGCCAGCAGCCGCGGUAAUACGGAGGGUGCAAGCGUUACUCGGAAUCACUGGGCGUAAAGAGCGCGUAGGCGGGAUAGCAAGUCAGAUGUGAAAUCCUAUGGCUUAACUAUAGAACUGCAUUUGAAACUGUUAUUCUAGAGUAUGGGAGAGGUAGGUGGAAUUCUUGGUGUAGGGGUAAAAUGCGUAGAGAUCAAGAGGAAUACUCGUUGCGAAGGCGACCUGCUAGAACAUAACUGACGCUGAUGCGCGAAAGCGUGGGGAGCAAACAGGAUUAGAUACCCGGGUAGUC
RNAcentral lists this ribosomal RNA (440 nucleotides) under uncultured bacterium. RNAcentral's name for it is "partial 16S ribosomal RNA". It matches the Rfam family "Bacterial small subunit ribosomal RNA", at positions 338 to 795 of the family's 1533-position model. The record is from RNAcentral.